GCCAGCAGCUAUAUUACCCUGCAAUUCACAAAUGACAACCCACUGAAGCUCAGCGGGUAUGAGUCUGGUCAGUACCUGGAUGGGAGACCUCCUGGGAAAAACUAAGGCUGCUGCUGGAA
RNAcentral lists this ribosomal RNA (119 nucleotides) under Lepisosteus oculatus (spotted gar). Lineage: Eukaryota; Metazoa; Chordata; Actinopteri; Semionotiformes; Lepisosteidae. The record is from RNAcentral.